UUAGUUACCAGCGGGUAAUGCCGGAACUCUAAGGGACUGCCUUGGUUAACGAGGAGGAAGGUGGGGACGACGUCAAGUCCUCAUGGCCCUUACAUCCCGGGCUACACACGUGCUACAAUGGCAGGUACAGAGGGCUGCGAAGCCGCGAGUGGAAGCGAAUCCCAGAAAACCUGUCUCAGUCCGGAUUGAAGUCUGCAACUCGACUUCAUGAAGGCGGAAUCGCUAGUAACCGCGAAUCAGCAGGUCGCGGUGAAUACGUUCCCGGGCCUU
RNAcentral lists this ribosomal RNA (270 nucleotides) under uncultured Latescibacterota bacterium. Its description in RNAcentral is "uncultured Latescibacteria bacterium partial 16S ribosomal RNA". It matches the Rfam family "Bacterial small subunit ribosomal RNA", at positions 1111 to 1382 of the family's 1533-position model. The record is from RNAcentral. Lineage: Bacteria; Pseudomonadati; Candidatus Latescibacterota.